CGGCGGCGGCGAGCCGGGCCUGCUGCCUCCCGGGCACGUGCGGGCGCACGCCGGGGCUCCGGGAACACGCCCCGGGCGUCCCGGAAGGUGUCCGCCGCCGCGGCCGGGCGGAGAGUGCGGCGGGGGGCGAUCGCGGCGGCGGCGCCGGUCCUCUUCCGGGCGGGAUGCCUGCCUGCGGACGCGGCGCGCACGCCCGGGCGGGACCACCCGCUCGCACCUGUGCGCCGGUGCCGGGAGCCCGGGAGUGCGCCUGGGUGUCGUUCACUGCAGAGCUGUGCCGGAAGGGAGAAGACCGGUUAUCAGUGAAACGAAUCUGUGGGGUUGUCUUCGUUACGUCAGCGCUGUGUUACUUGCCGGGCUUAGAAAGCGAGGGAGGGGUCUGCCUGGCUGUUUUGGUUCCCCCUCACCAGAUUUCCAGAUAAAAUGGAGAAAAGAGACUAGUGCCGUGGAGUCACCACCCAAGAAACGUCAGGAAACCGAGCAGAACUCCUCCAGAGGCUUGUGUGGGCAUCUGAACACCUGAGAUUCAGGGUCACUCAUUUUGAGGUGUGUACACGCAGGCUGCUCUCAAAGAGGCCGGGUUCACUCCAGAGGAGUUCCUUGUAGCCUCAGGUGGAGCUGGCCUGAGCUUUGCUUUGGCUCCCCAUGCUGCAGGCCGCGGGGGACAGUCCCCACCAACAGGCAGGCUCCCAUGCUGCAGGCCGAGGGUGACAGUCCCCACGUGCAACAGGCAGGCUCCCCAUGCUGCAAGCCGCGGGGGACAGUCCCCACUUGCAACAGGCAGGCUCCCCAUGCUGCAGGCCGAGGGUGACAGUCCCCACUUGCAACAGGCAGGCUCCCCAUGCUGCAGGCCGAGGGUGACAGUCCCCACUUGCAACAGGCAGGCUCCCCAUGCUGCAGGCCGAGGGUGACAGUCCCCACUUGCAACAGGCAGGCUCCCCAUGCUGCAGGCCGAGGGUGACAGUCCCCACUUGCAACAGGCAGGCUCCUCAUGCUGCAGGCCGAGGGUGACAGUCCCCGCUUGCAACAGGCAGGCUCCUCAUGCUGCAGGCCGAGGAUGACAGUCCCCGCUUGCAACAGGCAGGCUCCCCAUGCUGCAGGCCGAGGGUGACAGUCCCCGCUUGCAACAGGCAGGCUCCCCGUGCUGCAGGCGGAGGGUGACAGUCCUCACUUGCAACAGGCAGGCUCCUCAUGCUGCAGGCGGAGGGUGACAGUCCCCGCUUGCAACAGGUAGGCUUCCCAUGCUGCAGGCGGAGGGUGAAAGUCCUCACUUGCAACAUAGGCUCUGGAUUAUCUCCUGGGGGUGGCAAGUGUAGCGCGGAGGUGGAGGUGAUAAUCACAGCUGCUAUAUACUGCACUGGCAUAGUCCAGUCAGUCGGUUACUGUUAGCUCAUUAGUUGUGGCAACAAACUGCCCGAGGGUGUACUUGCAUUGUCUCUGCUUUAUAGAUGUGGAAAUAGAAGCAUGGCAGUUUGUGUGAUGUCAGACAGCUGAAGUGUCCACGUGGGAUUGGAACUUCUGUUAAAAUUGCCUAGCCUUGCGGAAGGAUAAGUUGUGGGUGGGCAGACACAGUUACAGAAUAUUAGGCACAGUUUCAGCUACUGGAGGCCUGGUCAAUUUCUGGUUUUUCAUGUCUCUUGGUUUGCCUAUGGCAAUUGAAAUAGGCAAGUGUUUGAAAACUGGAAAGAGGUUGGUAGGGCAAGGAUCUCAGAUUAAGGAAGAGAACACCUAAAUUCAGGCAGUUAACGCAGGUCACGGCAGCCAGCAUAGUGGCUUGGUGGGUUAAUCAUCUUGUGGUGCAGGCAUCCCAUAUCAGAGUGCUAGUUUGACUCCCAGCUGCUCUGCUUCCAAUCUAGCUUCCUGCUAGUACACAUGGGAAGGUAGCGGUUGAUGGGCUAAGUUUUGGGGCCCCUGCCACCCACAUGGGAGACCUAGAUGGAGUUCCUGGCUCUUGAUUUUGUCCUGACUGAGACCUGGCUGUUGUGGACAUUUGGAGAGUAAACCUGCAGAUGGAAGAUUCUUUGUCUCUUCCUAUCUCUGUCACUCUAUCUUUCAAAUAAAUAAAUAGAUCUUAAAAAUAAAAAAAGAAGGCUUAAGGGCCUAUAUAUUGACCUCUCCUUUUUUUCUAUUACUAGGAACCUAAGUGCAGAUGAUUCAUUUUUCCUAAUUUCUCAGACUGGCUCUGAAACUCACAUGUUUACCAAAUUUACAUAAUCUCUUGAAAGCAGAUUUUUUUCAGUAUCAUCAAGAAAUCAGUUAAGAUGUUGAUGGGCUAUAUUAGUAUGGCUUAUAAUAAUUUAAGUAUGAACCACUGCAAGUAAGAAAUCUGACCUUAUUUAGACCAUUAAAAGUGGUCAACUGGUUGGUACUGAGUGGCCAGAAGUGUGUGGAUGUGGCCUCUUCCUCUAGUUUGUCCGUAGACUGUCCAGGGGAAUGUUCUGGAAGCAUGCUCAGCAUACCAUCCCCUGACCGUGAUGUUUUCUCUCUCCGCUUCAUCCCAUCUGUAGAUACCUGCUAUCUCAGUGUUCAUAACUUGGUUCCUAGAUCUGUCUUCCGUGCCGUGUCCUUGUUUGCCGUUACACUGGCUUCUGCAGUCUCUGAAUUCUUUUGCUGCCACAUAAAUAGUUGCUGAUGGAGCUUGUUCUAUGCUUUUUGUUUCUCUCUUAGGACAGUGACUCCCGACCUGGGUAUCAAGGGUCUCUGGAGGACUGUGACAUUAACAUAGAGUCCAUCCUUAUUGCACAUUUUCUUAAUACAACUGGAUGAGAAGUUAUCCAGCUACCCAGUCUGCUGGGCACUUUAUAUAUAUCCCCGCCUAUGAGGCAGGUGUAUCUUGUAUCCCCAUUUUACACCAUAGUAAGUGAGCUUAAGUAUGUUCUUUGAGCUCAUAUACCUCAUGAUUGGCAGAGCUGAGAUCUGAACCCAAGAGUCAGGCUCCAGAGUGGUUGCUCUAAACCAUUUUGUUGAGGGCUGGUUUUGUGGUGUAGUAGGUUAAUCCUCCCCUGUGGUGCUGGCAUCCCAUAUGGGUGCUGGUUCAUGUCCUGGCUGCUUCUCUUCCAGUCUAGUUCUCUGCUAACAGCUUGGGACAGCAGUGGAAGAUGGCCCAAGUGUUUGGGUCCAUCACCCACGUAGGGGGCCAGAGGAAGCCCCUGGCUCCUAGCUUCGAAUUGACUGAGCUCUGCCAUUGUAGCCAUUUAGGGAGUGAACCAGCAGAUGGAAGACUUCUUUCUGUCUCUGUUGCUCUGCCUGUCAAAUAAAUAAAUAAAUCUUUAAAAAACAUUUUGUUAUUCUGUCUGUAGUAUUAAGUCACAAGGCAGAGAGAGAGAGAAUUGUCUUAUUCUAUAAAGAAACCUCAGAUUCAAGGGCCACUGCUCGGCAUUUUGGCUGUCAGGGCAAAUGUGCCAGUGGGCUUAGAUGGGUGGUCUCAAAUUCCUGCUUGAGAGUAGUUCAGGCAGCCAAGGUAUCCUCUCUUAUGCUUCUUUAGUAUGUUAGAGUGUUUCAGAAAGAUCAUAGAAAAAUGGAAGUAAAAAGUCAGUUUAUGGCCGGCGCCGCGGCUCACAAGGCUAAUCCUCUGCCUUGCGGCGCCGGCAUACCAGGUUCUAGUCCCGGUCGGGGCGCCGGAUUCUGUCCCGGUUGCCCCUCUUCCAGGCCAGCUCUCUGCUGUGGCCAGGGAGUGCAGUGGAGGAUGGCCCAAGUGCUUGGGCCCUGCACCCCAUGGGAGACCAGGAGAAGCACCUGGCUCCUGCCAUCAGAUCAGUGCGGUGCGCCGGCCGCGGUGGCCAUUGGAGGGUGAACCAACGGCAAAGGAAGACCUUUCUCUCUGUCUCUCUCUCUCUCUCACCAUCCACUCUGCCUGUCAAAAAAAAAAAAAAGUCAGUUUAUUUGGUGCAGAAAAAAAUUAAAAUCCACGUAUAGUUUUUUCAUAAUAUGCAUAUGAAAUUUUUGAAGUUAUACUGUUUACAUAUUUUUGAAAUAUGUGUAUAUAUAUACUUCAUAUGUAAAUAUUUAUAUACUUGCAUGUACUUUUGGAAGUGUAUAUGCUUAGGCUUCUUAUUCUAGCUUUUUCUUCCUACCCAUUCUUUUUUUCAAAUAUUAUUUGUUGAUUUAUUUUAUUUGAAAGGCAGACACAUACAUACCCAGAAUUCUCGUUCUUUGGUAUACUCUCCAAAUGGUUAUAACAGCCAGGGCUGGGCCAGGUGAAAGCUAGGAGCCGGGCACUCAAUCCAGGUCUCCCAUGUGGAGGUGGGCCCAAUCGGGCGAGUCACCUGCUGCCUCUCAAGGUGCAUAUUAGCAGUAAGCUGGAAUGGGAAGUGGACCUGGGACUUGAACCCAGGCCCUCCAGUAUGGGAUGUGGGCAUCCCAAGUGGUAUCUUAGCCCCUGCACCAAAUACCUAUCCCUCCUCCUACCUAUCCCUCCUCCUACACAUUCUUUUUUCCCCUGCACUUUUUUAUCUACUUACUUUUAUUUUUUUGACAGGUAGAUAGAGAUCUUCCAUUUGGUGGUUCACUCCUCAAAUAUCCACACCAGUUGGGUCUGGGCCAGGCCAAAGCUAGGAGCCUAGAACGCAAUCCAGGUCCUCUACCUGGGUAGCAGAGACCCAAGUAUUUGACCUAUCAUCUGCUGCUUUCCAGGUGUGCAGAAGCCUGGAACUGGAGAGAGAGUAGGGACUCCGAUAUGGGGUGCGAUCAUCCCAAGUUACAUCUUAACUGGUAUGCCAAAUGCCUGCCCUCCUACUCACCUUUUUUUUUUUUUUUUUUUAAGAUUUUUAUUUAUUUAUUUGGGAGGUAGAGUUAUAGAGUUGCAGAGAGUGAGAGGGAGAGACAGAGAGAAAGGUUUUCCAUCUGCUGGUUCACUCCCACAAUGGCUGUAACUGGGCUGAUCCUAAGCCAGGAGCCAGGCGCUUCUUCUGGGUCUCCAGUGCAGGUGCAGGGGCCCAAGCACUUGGGCCAUCUUCUGCUGCUUUCCCAGGCCAUAGCAGAGAGCUGGAUGGGAAGAGGAGCAGCUGGCACUAGAACUGGCACCCAUCUGGGAUCCUGGCACCACUGGCAGAGGAUUAACCUACUGCGCUACAGCACUCCCUCCCACCCCCACCCCUUGAUACAAUAGCUGUGAAUCCUUUUCCAAAGUCUAUACCUUCUUAAAUUGCCUUUAAGUAAACCCAGGCUUUGGCUCCCAGGCCCUCUGCCAGCCAUCCCCAUAGCUCACCUCCAUUGUUAAUGAUGAUUGCUGUUCUUUUCUGUACUCACGGAAAUGUUCUGGCUGUUCUUUGAAUACUCUGGCCUUGUAACUCUCUGGAGUCAUUAUUUGAGGCUGAAUGGACAAGGCUUAUUCCUUUUAACUUGACUAAAAGCCUUAGUGUUCUCAGACUUGUCCUGCCAAAUGCAGCCUCUUCAGGAACUUCCUUUAUGUUUGUGUAUAUGCAGUCUCUGUUGCUUGCAUAGGUCAUUUAUAUAUCCUCCUUCUUUCAGAUUGUAAACUGCUUUGAAGAUAGAAAUCUCAUUUUCAGCCUGUCACUUCUCUAAUGGCUUCACCUAGAGGACUUAAACAUUUUGACCUAUUUUUCUGUUACCAGAACACAUCUUCACUCUGUGUCUGCAGUGUGCAAGGCCUGGUUUGAUGCUGGUGUGGAUAUCAAGAGAUGUAAGGCAUACUUUCUGCCAUUAGGACCUUAUAAUCUUCGAAGAGCAUAAGACAGUGCACAUGAAAACUCAGAACAUAAGAAAAAUUUAGUUUGGCACAAUAAUGUUAGGGGUCAGGUGAGUACCUCAUCCAACCUCUGAAAGAAGUCAUUGGAUGUGAAAAUAGAAGAUACUUUGUUCUGGAUAAAGAGGAGUGUAGAGAGGGGAAGUUUUCAGGGACAGUGAGGACAAAUCUAUAGUAACAAUGGUCAGAAAAUGAAUGUAAAAAAUUAUUUGUGUCACUUCUAAAAAGUAGCUUCAAAAAAAAAAAAACACAUCAUUGGACAAUGAUAAAAAAGAAUGAAGACAA
Oryctolagus cuniculus (rabbit) is the source of this 5989-nucleotide non-coding RNA. Lineage: Eukaryota; Metazoa; Chordata; Mammalia; Lagomorpha; Leporidae. The record is from RefSeq and is a predicted model, not a curated record.